This 983-nucleotide long non-coding RNA is filed under the name Olea europaea subsp. europaea. The record is from RNAcentral. Lineage: Eukaryota; Viridiplantae; Streptophyta; Magnoliopsida; Lamiales; Oleaceae.
CCAAGAUGUAGAAAGAACAUAGGCAGUUCACAAUCAUUACUGAAAAAGCAACAUAGACCAUGUUCUUCCAGCUAUUUCUAAAGGUAAAAAUGCAAGUCCAAAUCUGCAUUUACAUGCAUCAAUCAGAGGUAUGUUUUUGCAAACUUUAACCACGGCAAUGUAAACUAUGCACUGACCACAAAUUGUAAAGUAAAUGAAAAAGAUAUUAGCAGUCUGAAAUUUAACUAGCUUUCUAAUUCCAAUCUAUUAUGGAAGACUCUGUUCCAAGAAAGAGUUUUUAACAAAAUAAAAAAUAAAAAAUAAAAAAUAAAAAUGAAAUUCAUUGCUGAAAGAUCCAUCUCAACGUAAAAGGAACAUCUAAACAAGCAACUAAUAUGACGUUCUUGUACUAGUGAACGCUAGAUAAUGAACACACAUAUAAAUCUAAAUUAAGAGUUAAAAGAACAUUCCUAUUGCCUGUAAUUUUAUAUUAGUAGCAAAAUAUGAAAUCCUUUAGAGGCAUGUAAUAGCACAAGUCAAAUUCGUAAGCAAACAUGGGAAAAAUUUAGCACUACUUCUAGACAUCACUAAACAUCCAAAAAUGUUAUGAGCUUAUUCCUGUCAACGACGUAUGUCAUAAACAAAUGAGCUUUGUAGCUGAUAUAAAUUAUUCAAAACUACAGAAUAAAAAAUGUAUGCCAAGAGAAACAUAAAUGGAUCCAAAGAUUCCUAAAUUUCUUGGUAAAGAAAAAAAUUAUGUCAUUGUCUUUCCUUUUUGUUCAUCUUUAAUUCAUCAUAACCAUAAUAUUGUACCUGACAAUAUCUAACAGCAUUCACAAAGUAGGAAUAGUAAUAAUGACUCUCCAAUGAAAUAUGGAUUUUGCUCCUCUACCAGACUUGUAAAUGAUUUGGUAGAGGAGCCUCUCUCACAGCAAUGGGUCCCCCAUUGGGACCCAUUAUUAAAAAAAUGUCAAAAAACACCUACCCCCAUCCCCAAAUGUGAG